GAUGAACGCUAGCUACAGGCUUAACACAUGCAAGUCGAGGGGCAGCGGGAUUGAAGCUUGCUUCAAUUGCCGGCGACCGGCGCACGGGUGAGUAGCGCGUAUCCAACCUUCCGUACACUCAGGGAUAGCCUUUCGAAAGAAAGAUUAAUACCUGAUGGUAUGAUGAGAUUGCAUGAUAGCAUCAUUAAAGAUUUAUCGGUGUACGAUGGGGAUGCGUUCCAUUAGGUAGUAGGCGGGGUAACGGCCCACCUAGCCAACGAUGGAUAGGGGUUCUGAGAGGAAGGUCCCCCACAUUGGAACUGAGACACGGUCCAAAACUCCUACGGGAGGCAGCAGUGAGGAAUAUUGGUCAAUGGACGAGAGUCUGAACCAGCCAAGUAGCGUGAAAGGAUGAAGGUCCUACGGAUUGUAAAACUUCUUUUAUAAGGGAAUAAACCCUCCACGUGUGGGAGCUUGUAUGUACCUUAUGAAUAAGCAUCGGCUAACUCCGUGCCAG
Molecule: ribosomal RNA, 496 nt
Filed under: uncultured bacterium
Lineage: Bacteria
Description: bacterial SSU rRNA
Rfam family: Bacterial small subunit ribosomal RNA
Source: RNAcentral